UCCAGACUCCUACGGGAGGCAGCAGUGGGGGAUAUUGCACAAUGGGGGAAACCCUGAUGCAGCGACGCCGCGUGUGGGAAGACGGUCUUCUGGAUUGUAAACCACUGUCCCCAGGGACGAAAAUGACGGUACCUGGGGAGGAAGCUCCGGCUAACUACGUGCCAGCAGCCGCGGUAAUACGUAGGGGGCAAGCGUUAUCCGGAUUUACUGGGUGUAAAGGGAGCGUAGACGGCGAUGCAAGUCUGAAGUGAAAGGCGGGGGCCCAACCCCCGGACUGCUUUGGAAACUGUAUGGCUGGAGUGCAGGAGAGGUAAGUGGAAUUCCUAGUGUAGCGGUGAAAUGCGUAGAUAUUAGGAGGAACACCGGUGGCGAAGGCGGCCUGCUGGACUGUGACUGACGUUGAGGCUCGAAAGCGUGGGGAGCAAACAGGAUUAGAUACCCUGGUAA
Molecule: ribosomal RNA, 447 nt
Filed under: uncultured bacterium
Lineage: Bacteria
Description: partial 16S ribosomal RNA
Rfam family: Bacterial small subunit ribosomal RNA
Source: RNAcentral